RNAcentral lists this ribosomal RNA (484 nucleotides) under uncultured bacterium. Its description in RNAcentral is "partial 16S ribosomal RNA". It matches the Rfam family "Bacterial small subunit ribosomal RNA", at positions 30 to 507 of the family's 1533-position model. The record is from RNAcentral.
AUUGAACGCUGGCGGCAGGCCUAACACAUGCAAGUCGAGCGGAUGAAGGGAGCUUGCUCCUGGAUUCAGCGGCGGACGGGUGAGUAAUGCCUAGGAAUCUGCCUGGUAGUGGGGGAUAACGUCCGGAAACGGGCGCUAAUACCGCAUACGUCCUGAGGGAGAAAGUGGGGGAUCUUCGGACCUCACGCUAUCAGAUGAGCCUAGGUCGGAUUAGCUAGUUGGUGGGGUAAAGGCCUACCAAGGCGACGAUCCGUAACUGGUCGAAAAGGAUGAUCAGUCACACGGGAACUGAGACACGGUCCAGACUCCUACGGGAGGCGGCAGUGGGGAAUAUUGGACAAAGGGCGAAAGCCUGAUCCAGCCAUGCCGCGUGUGUGAAGAAGGUCUUCGGAUUGUAAAGCACUUUAAGUUGGGAGGAAGGGCAGUAAGUUAAUACCUUGCUGUUUUGACGUUACCAACAGAAUAAGCACCGGCUAACUUCGUG